RNAcentral lists this ribosomal RNA (115 nucleotides) under Neolamprologus brichardi. Lineage: Eukaryota; Metazoa; Chordata; Actinopteri; Cichliformes; Cichlidae. The record is from RNAcentral.
GCUUGCGGCCAUAUCACCCUCAGCACGCCCGAUCUCAUCUAAUAUCGAGAGCUAAGCAGGGUCGGACCUGGUACUUGAAUCAGAGCCCGCUUGGGACAGCCUGGUGCUGUAAGUC